UCCUGUGAGAAUCUGAUGCAGCCACUGA
RNAcentral lists this non-coding RNA (28 nucleotides) under Homo sapiens (human). The record is from RNAcentral. Lineage: Eukaryota; Metazoa; Chordata; Mammalia; Primates; Hominidae.